This 630-nucleotide ribosomal RNA is filed under the name uncultured archaeon. RNAcentral's name for it is "bacterial SSU rRNA". It matches the Rfam family "Archaeal small subunit ribosomal RNA", at positions 5 to 610 of the family's 1478-position model. The record is from RNAcentral.
CGGUUGAUCCUGCCGGACCCCACUGCUAUCGGGGUGGGACUAAGACAUGCAAGUCGUACGCCUCCCAGCCGCCGGGGGAGGCGUGGCGCACGGCUCCGUAACACGUGGCUAACCUGCCCUUGGGACGGGGAUAACCCCGGGAAACUGGGGCUAAUCCCCGAUAGAUGAGAGCACCUGGAAUGGGCUUUCAUCUAAAGGGGGAUAGUAGAAUGAUACUAUCUCCGCCCGAGGAUGGGGCUGCGUCCUAUCAGGUAGUUGGCGGGGUAACGGCCCGCCAAGCCUAUAACGGGUAGGGGCUGUGAGAGCAGGAGCCCCGAGAUGGGCACUGAGACAAGGGCCCAGGCCCUACGGGGUGCAGCAGGCGCGAAACCUCCGCAAUACGGGAAACCGUGACGGGGUCAUCCCGAGUGCUACCCGCAGAGGGUAGCUUUUCCCUGGUCUAAAAAGCCAGGGGAAUAAGCGGGGGGCAAGACUGGUGUCAGCCGCCGCGGUAAUACCAGCCCCGCGAGUGAUCGGGACGAUUAUUGGGCCUAAAGCAUCCGUAGCCGGCCCAACAAGUCUUCUCUGAAAUCCUACGGCUCAACCGUAGGGCUGGAGAAGAUACUGUUGGGCUAGGGGGUGGGAGAGGCC